GAUGAACGCUAGCGGCAGGCUUAACACAUGCAAGUCGGGGGGUAGAGGAAGCUUGCUUCCUUGAGACCGGCGCACGGGUGCGUAACGCGUAUACAAUCUACCUUUUACAGAGGGAUAGCCCAGAGAAAUUUGGAUUAAUACCUCAUAGUAUUUUCGGAUCGCAUGAUUUGAUUAUUAAAGUUCCAACGGUAAAAGAUGAGUAUGCGUCCCAUUAGCUAGAUGGUAAGGUAACGGCUUACCAUGGCAAUGAUGGGUAGGGGUCCUGAGAGGGAGAUCCCCCACACUGGUACUGAGACACGGACCAGACUCCUACGGGAGGCAGCAGUGAGGAAUAUUGGACAAUGGGCGCAAGCCUGAUCCAGCCAUGCCGCGUGCAGGAAUAAGGUCCUAUGGAUUGUAAACUGCUUUUUAUACAGGAAGAAACACACCCUCGUGAGGGUACUUGACGGUACUGUAUGAAUAAGGACCGGCUAACUCCGUGCCAGCAGCCGCGGUAAAGU
RNAcentral lists this ribosomal RNA (500 nucleotides) under uncultured bacterium. RNAcentral describes it as "bacterial SSU rRNA". It matches the Rfam family "Bacterial small subunit ribosomal RNA", at positions 28 to 526 of the family's 1533-position model. The record is from RNAcentral.